CAGAGCUUAACAACUCCCAAACCCCUGUGAACAUACCACCGUUGCUUCGGCGGGUACGCCCCGGGCGCGCGCAAGCGUGCCCCGGAACCAGGCGCCCGCCGGGGGAAACAAACUCUUGUCUUACUUUUGUAUCGUCUGAGUGGAUUAUUAAAUAAAUCA
Molecule: unclassified non-coding RNA, 159 nt
Filed under: uncultured Hypocreales
Lineage: Eukaryota; Fungi; Ascomycota; Sordariomycetes; Hypocreales
Description: sequence contains ITS1
Source: RNAcentral